RNAcentral lists this RNase P RNA (377 nucleotides) under Halobacillus fulvus. RNAcentral describes it as "Halobacillus sp. SKP4-6 RNase P RNA component class B". It matches the Rfam family "Bacterial RNase P class B". Rfam says of the family: Ribonuclease P (RNase P) is a ubiquitous endoribonuclease, found in archaea, bacteria and eukarya as well as chloroplasts and mitochondria. Its best characterised activity is the generation of mature 5'-ends of tRNAs by cleaving the 5'-leader elements of precursor-tRNAs. The record is from RNAcentral. Lineage: Bacteria; Bacillati; Bacillota; Bacilli; Caryophanales; Bacillaceae.
AUACUCGGGUAAUCGCUGUAUGACUCGAUCAUGCAGAGGAAAGUCCAUGCUCGCACAGGCUGAGAUGCCUGUAGUGUUCGUGCCUGACGAAACCAUAAGUCAGGGUAGUGAAUUUCACUAACGGCAGGGAAAAUUCCUAAGUCGACAGAUAUGGAAUGAAUACCUUGAAAGUGCCACAGUGACGGAGCCGGUGCAGAAAUGCAGCGGGUGGAACGAGGUAAACCCCACGAGCGAGCAACCCAAAAUUAGGUAGGGGCACUUUUCCGAUGGAAUUUGAACAGAGGAAGAGGCCGUUUAACGGCAGAUAGAUGAUUACCACCGGAGUACGAGGUUGACCACCGCUUGCAGUACACUGGUACAGAACAUGGCUUACAGAG